Molecule: ribosomal RNA, 467 nt
Filed under: uncultured bacterium
Lineage: Bacteria
Description: partial 16S ribosomal RNA
Rfam family: Bacterial small subunit ribosomal RNA
Source: RNAcentral
GACGAACGCUGGCGGCGUGCUUAACACAUGCAAGUCGAACGAUGACGACCGAGCUUGCUCGGUCUGAUUAGUGGCGAACGGGGGAGUAACACGUGAGCAACCUGCCCUUCACUCUGGGAUAACCUCGGGAAAUCGGGGCUAAUACCGGAUAUGAGCUCCUGUCGCAUGGCGGGUGUUGGAAAGUUUGUCGGUGCAGGAUGGGCUCGCGGCCUAUCGGUUUGUUGGGGAGGUAGUGGCUCACCAAGGCGAGGACGGGUAGCCGGCCUGAGAGGGCGACCGGCCACACUGGGACUGAGACACGGCCCAGACUCCUACGGGAGGCAGCAGUGGGGAAUAUUGCACAAUGGGCGAAAGCCUGAUGCAGCGACGCCGCGUGAGGGAUGACGGCCUUCGGGUUGUAAACCUCUUUCAGCAGGGAAGAAGCGAAAGUGACGGUACCUGCAGAAGAAGCGCCGGCUAACUACGUG